RNAcentral lists this transfer RNA (126 nucleotides) under Streptomyces cinereoruber. RNAcentral describes it as "tRNA-OTHER". Lineage: Bacteria; Bacillati; Actinomycetota; Actinomycetes; Kitasatosporales; Streptomycetaceae. The record is from RNAcentral.
GGAGGCGAUGCACAGACUCCGUCGCAGGUCGGGACGCGCACGACCCUCGCCGGGCCCCUGUACGAACACUUUGAAAGCGUGGUGGGGGGCAACCCCUCACGAGUUCGAAUCUCGUAUCCUCCGCCA